This 302-nucleotide unclassified non-coding RNA is filed under the name Micromonospora sp. Its description in RNAcentral is "partial 16S-23S ribosomal RNA intergenic spacer". Lineage: Bacteria; Bacillati; Actinomycetota; Actinomycetes; Micromonosporales; Micromonosporaceae. The record is from RNAcentral.
GGAGCCCGCGACCCGCGAAUGCCGGGUCGGGGUGCUCGAUUGGCGGAGACACUGGCGAGCUUUCACCUGGCAACGGCCGGGAUCUCUAGUACGGCCACUUCGGUGGUGGGGAACGGGUGACCGGUGCGGCUGGGAGGAAGCGAUUAGCACCCUGUUGGGUCCUGAAAGAACAACCGUGGGUUGUCUUUCAGAGCCGAAGCUCGAGGUGUGAAGCCUUGAGGUUGGUGCCAGGCAUGGCCUGGUGUGGCAUACCGCCGGCGGUGGUCGGGUUUGGUGUCGCACGGAUCGGGUUGUGGGUUGGU